This 565-nucleotide long non-coding RNA is filed under the name Fukomys damarensis (Damara mole-rat). RNAcentral's name for it is "lncRNA (ENSFDAG00000032705.1)". The record is from RNAcentral. Lineage: Eukaryota; Metazoa; Chordata; Mammalia; Rodentia; Bathyergidae.
AGGUGUCAAUCGAAGACCUCACUAGUGACAUAAAAUCCAGAAGUGGUAUCCUCUGUCUGCUUGGUACUGAUUUCCCCGUCUCAUUUACUCAUUAACUUGGUCACCCUUUAUGAAGUCCCGUAUGUCUUGGACUUUGUUCGAGAACAAAAACUAUUUACUCCCAAGCAGAGAGCCCAACCAAUCCUUCAUGGUGAGACGUGCUAUGGAACCGCCACAUGCAGUGACCAGCACUCCAUGCCAAAAGAGCUCCCUGCCCAGCACUUGCCCACAGAACCAGGCACUGAGCUUGUCUAAAAUCAUAGGGAGAAACGAAAACACUUCAAGAUCAUAGAAAACCAUGCUAAAAAUCAGCUGCAGAAGAAACACCAAGAAGAGGCCAUCCCAACACUGAGAGAUAUUCCUAAGAGAGACUGAAACCAGAGGUUCUUUCUUGUAGCUGGACACUGACACUGAAUUAUAUGUGACUGUACUAACACCAAGUAUUUACUUCUAACUUUUUGACAAUAAUUUAGCUCAUAAUUACUUUUACUAACUUUUCCAUUAAUAAAAAAAAUUGAGAUGCAAA